This 1051-nucleotide ribosomal RNA is filed under the name Lactiplantibacillus plantarum. RNAcentral describes it as "bacterial SSU rRNA". It matches the Rfam family "Bacterial small subunit ribosomal RNA", at positions 411 to 1454 of the family's 1533-position model. The record is from RNAcentral. Lineage: Bacteria; Bacillati; Bacillota; Bacilli; Lactobacillales; Lactobacillaceae.
AAGGGUUUCGGCUCGUAAAACUCUGUUGUUAAAGAAGAACAUAUCUGAGAGUAACUGUUCAGGUAUUGACGGUAUUUAACCAGAAAGCCACGGCUAACUACGUGCCAGCAGCCGCGGUAAUACGUAGGUGGCAAGCGUUGUCCGGAUUUAUUGGGCGUAAAGCGAGCGCAGGCGGUUUUUUAAGUCUGAUGUGAAAGCCUUCGGCUCAACCGAAGAAGUGCAUCGGAAACUGGGAAACUUGAGUGCAGAAGAGGACAGUGGAACUCCAUGUGUAGCGGUGAAAUGCGUAGAUAUAUGGAAGAACACCAGUGGCGAAGGCGGCUGUCUGGUCUGUAACUGACGCUGAGGCUCGAAAGUAUGGGUAGCAAACAGGAUUAGAUACCCUGGUAGUCCAUACCGUAAACGAUGAAUGCUAAGUGUUGGAGGGUUUCCGCCCUUCAGUGCUGCAGCUAACGCAUUAAGCAUUCCGCCUGGGGAGUACGGCCGCAAGGCUGAAACUCAAAGGAAUUGACGGGGGCCCGCACAAGCGGUGGAGCAUGUGGUUUAAUUCGAAGCUACGCGAAGAACCUUACCAGGUCUUGACAUACUAUGCAAAUCUAAGAGAUUAGACGUUCCCUUCGGGGACAUGGAUACAGGUGGUGCAUGGUUGUCGUCAGCUCGUGUCGUGAGAUGUUGGGUUAAGUCCCGCAACGAGCGCAACCCUUAUUAUCAGUUGCCAGCAUUAAGUUGGGCACUCUGGUGAGACUGCCGGUGACAAACCGGAGGAAGGUGGGGAUGACGUCAAAUCAUCAUGCCCCUUAUGACCUGGGCUACACACGUGCUACAAUGGAUGGUACAACGAGUUGCGAACUCGCGAGAGUAAGCUAAUCUCUUAAAGCCAUUCUCAGUUCGGAUUGUAGGCUGCAACUCGCCUACAUGAAGUCGGAAUCGCUAGUAAUCGCGGAUCAGCAUGCCGCGGUGAAUACGUUCCCGGGCCUUGUACACACCGCCCGUCACACCAUGAGAGUUUGUAACACCCAAAGUCGGUGGGGUAACCUUUUAGGAACCAGCC